CCUACGGUGUGCAGCAGUGGGGGAUAUUGCACAAUGGGGGAAACCCUGAUGCAGCGACGCCGCGUGGGCGAAGAAGUAUUUCGGUAUGUAAAGCCCUAUCAGCAGGGAAGAAGAAAUGACGGUCCCUGAGUAAGAAGCACCGGCUAAAUACGUGCCAGCAGCCGCGGUAAUACGUAUGGUGCAAGCGUUAUCCGGAUUUACUGGGUGUAAAGGGAGCGCAGGCGGCACGGCAAGCCUGAUGUGAAAGCCCGCGGCCCAACCGCGGGACUGCAUUGGGAACUACCGGGCUGGAGUGCCGGAGCGGGAGGCGGAAUGCCGAGUGGAGGGGGGAAAGGCGUAGAUAUUGGGAGGAACACCAGUGGAGAAGG
This 368-nucleotide ribosomal RNA is filed under the name uncultured bacterium. RNAcentral's name for it is "partial 16S ribosomal RNA". It matches the Rfam family "Bacterial small subunit ribosomal RNA", at positions 338 to 721 of the family's 1533-position model. The record is from RNAcentral.